This is a non-coding RNA of Amborella trichopoda, 3062 nucleotides long. NCBI's taxonomy places the organism in Eukaryota, Viridiplantae, Streptophyta, Magnoliopsida, Amborellales, Amborellaceae. The record is from RefSeq and is a predicted model, not a curated record.
CUCAUGCGCUUUGGGAACGGGCCUGCUCUAAUACCAGAUGGUAUGGUGGAAAGAAAAAAGAGAAAUAGAAAAAUCAAAGAUCGAAUUGAUUGAAUAACAGGAAGCUUACAAUCCAAGCUUCUAGCUCUCUGGUGAAACCAAGAUUUUGAACAAAAUGAUAUCUAAGUCUGAAAGCAAAACCCUGAAUACGACCACUAUUUAUAAUAAAAGAUCUUACUAUUUAUAAUAAAAGAUCUUACUUAAAUUCCAAGUAAUCCUAAUUCUAAUUGAAAAAAAAGAAGUCUUGAUUACAACAAAAAAUUUUAUAACAUUUUUACCCUUGAUAAAAUAAAUAUUUCCAUAAUAACUCUUAACUAGCUUAAUCAAGCAUUGAUGUUGAGGCCUACCCAGCCUGUUCACCAAAUGGCUUCAUGCCCAAGCCCUCAAUCAAGUCCAUCCUUAGCCAUAUAUUCCACCCCUCGGCCUACCUCUUCACCCUUAAUUCCACCUCAACCUCCUUUCCCCCCUGGCUAUCAUUUUUUCCACAUUCCCCCUCUUGAAGGUCCCCUCCCCCUCUGCUACCGUACAAUCUCAGUGAAGAGCAUCCUUCUCCCCCACCCACACAUCUUUCCCUCCCCUUUGAUAACCCCUCUUCCUCCUAUUCCUCUUGUAUACCGGACUCUAGCUCUGUGGACGCAAAGCCCAAGCCCAUCCUCACGAGAUCCUUUUAGUGAUGGGCUUCCUGUGCAACAACCCUCAUGAAGCCUUUGAAGCCUACAUCAAUGCUGAUAGCGAAUCUAGAUGGCAGUGUAAGUUGAAGAAUGUCAAAGGUAAGGCUCCUGCCACCAAUUCGAGAGCAUCCUGGGAGCUAUUCAAACUAUUUCAAAGUAAGAUACGAGAAAAGAGAACCUUCAGCUAAGGUCCUCCCCAUUCCCUCAGCUCCUCAGCAUUCUCGUCACUCUACCAAGAGUGCCAUCCGCUCCGUAGCUGUGCUAUGAAGAUCCUUAUUUGGAAUAUAAGGGGUUUGGGCCACCUAGGAAAACGGCAAAAUAUUCGUCAAUUUAUUUCACAGUAUUCUCCGUCUCUUCUUGGUUUGGUGGAAACCAAGCUUUCUUCUCCCUCUCUCUCCCAAUUUAGAAUAUUUGGGGUUUUCCCUUGCCAGUGGUUAGCUCUGGAUGCAAUAGGACCUUCUAACGGUAUCUGGGUCCUCUAGUACCCAUCUCAACAUGCCUUAGUUGCCUCUCACAUUGUCAAGUUCUCUAUCACAGUGACCCUAGCUAGGAUCACAGAUUUCCUCCUUUGGAAGUGCAUUGUGGUCUAUGGACACAUCAAAGCGUGUGAGACUGGCCUGCCAUGUCAAUAAAAAAUCCUAAUUCUUUUAUUCCCUCUUUCACACGCAUGCACAUGGACAAACAAACAUUUAUAUUAUUUGAUCACAUCCGCACCCACAGACUCACCAUGCUUCAGAUGGUAAUGAAAUCCGAUAAACAAUUCCUAAUCAGACGAGGGGUGCUCCAUCAUGAUAAAUUCAUACUUGGUAUCACGCUAUUGAAGGUUUACUUGAGUACUUAUACUUCUUGAUUCUAGAACAACUAAAACUAGCUAUACUAAUAUAUAAUGUCCUCUGAUGUCAUUUCACAUAUACUUGAAACAGGCUCCGUAAGAUUUGUUUCUUGUUGAUCAGUUUUCUUUAGAAAUCUCUACUAAUGACCGAGUGCAAAAGAUAUGAGUAAGAGAUAUCUCAAAAGAUCUAAGGACAUUAGAUGAUCUCUUCUGUUACCUUAUUCUUUACCUCACCAAAUCAUGGGGUAGACCCUAUCUUGGCUGGAGCAUUAUGAAAAAGCUUGUGACUGAUAUUUAUUACAUGAAUAAUCGCUUUGUCAGACUGCAGUGGAGAAUUAUGAUGCAUGUGGAUUUAUUUCGUUUGGGUUUUAUGCCUAGAGGAUUCAUAAGAAGAUUCAAAACUUUUUGCUACAUGAUCCAUCUAUUUGGUUUCAUUUCACCUAGAAUUUGGUCAAAUUUGGUUAGUUGUUCAUAUUUCUCCCUCUUCUUGUGUGUGUGUUUGUGAGAGAGAUAGAUAGAUAGAUAGAUAGAUAGAUGAGAGAGAGAGAGAGAGAGAGAGAGAGAGAGAGAGAUUCAUAGAUGAUAUGAAUUGCAUCACAAGACAAAUAAUUUUGUUGACCUGGGAUUCGAUUCAUGCCCAUAAUCGGAUGGCAACCUGCCAAUGGAACAUUUGGUAGUAUGAAACGUUGGGAUUAGCGACCACAAAAGUAUAAAUAGCCAUUGAAUAUGGAAAAUGCAACUUUGUAUACUAUUUGUUUGCCUUUUCUGGUUGCAUUAUAGAUAUUUGUUGUUUGUUUUGUUAAACAAGAUGGUUUCUCUGGCAGUUAAACUUUUUCUCAAAAAAAAACAAGAUGGUUUCUCAGUUACCUCUAUUGUUAAAUCAAUGUAAUUUUUUGCCGGUGGUAGAGAUGGGAUUUACACUAGUAGUAUUGGCUCAUAUUUGGGAGAAUUCUGUGCCUGAUGAAAAGACCAGUAUGUUAUGCCAAGUGUGGAGGUCUUGCUGUUCAACCAUUGCGUGCAUGUUUUCAGCUCUGCUGCAGGAAGCUUGGUUGCUUGCUGUACAGGAACAUGCAUAGUUUAGUAUUUCACCCCCAUCAUGAUGCAUGGAGGACAUGUCCAUCUUCGAUGCCAUAAAAGAAGUUGUUCAUUUGCAUAGAGGGUGUAGAGUAAAGGGAGUUGCCAGCCCCACCUGCACCUCCUAUUUCCAAGCGUUCAAUAAUCGAAGGCAUCGAUGCAUGUAUCAGCGAGGCUAUGGAAGGCUACCAUGCUGAAACAUGGAGAGCUUGCUUCUGUGCACAUGUUUUGCUCCAUUUGCCAAGGUUCUCAUUUGAAACUGAAGGAACUAAGCAGGCAUUAGCAAAAGGAACUAAGCAGGCAUUAGCAAUUGCUUUUUGUAAAGCUUCAUUUUCACGUUUUCUUGACAUUCGAAGCAAGCCAGUGGCUUUGAGGAAACCCUUUUUGCUGGUUAUUGUAGCUCGUUAUAUAUGUUGCCCUGGUUAUAUAAAAAAGGUUUUGGAGAA